Molecule: ribosomal RNA, 500 nt
Filed under: uncultured bacterium
Lineage: Bacteria
Description: partial 16S ribosomal RNA
Rfam family: Bacterial small subunit ribosomal RNA
Source: RNAcentral
AUUGAACGCUGGCGGCAUGCCUUACACAUGCAAGUCGAACGGUAGCACGGGAGCAAUCCUGGUGGCGAGUGGCGAACGGGUGAGUAAAGUAUCGGAACGUGCCCAGUCGUGGGGGAUAACGUAGCGAAAGUUACGCUAAUACCGCAUACGAUCUAUGGAUGAAAGCGGGGGAUCGCAAGACCUCGCGCGAUUGGAGCGGCCGAUAUCAGAUUAGGUAGUUGGUGGGGUAAAGGCUCACCAAGCCGACGAUCUGUAGCUGGUCUGAGAGGACGACCAGCCACACUGGGACUGAGACACGGCCCAGACUCCUACGGGAGGCAGCAGUGGGGAAUUUUGGACAAUGGGCGAAAGCCUGAUCCAGCCAUGCCGCGUGCAGGAUGAAGGCCUUCGGGUUGUAAACUGCUUUUGUACGGAACGAAAAGGUUUGGCCUAAUAAGCUGAGCUCAUGACGGUACCGUAAGAAUAAGCACCGGCUAACUACGUGCCAGCAGCCGCUGUAA